Molecule: ribosomal RNA, 492 nt
Filed under: uncultured bacterium
Lineage: Bacteria
Description: partial 16S ribosomal RNA
Rfam family: Bacterial small subunit ribosomal RNA
Source: RNAcentral
AGUGAACGCUGGCGGUAGGCCUAACACAUGCAAGUCGAACGGCAGCACAGUAAGAGCUUGCUCUUACGGGUGGCGAGUGGCGGACGGGUGAGGAAUACAUCGGAAUCUACUUUUUCGUGGGGGAUAACGUAGGGAAACUUACGCUAAUACCGCAUACGACCUACGGGUGAAAGCAGUGGAUCUUCGGACCUUGCGCGAUUGAAUGAGCCGAUGUCGGAUUAGCUAGUUGGCGGGGUAAAGGCCCACCAAGGCGACGAUCCGUAGCUGGUCUGAGAGGAUGAUCAGCCACACUGGAACUGAGACACGGUCCAGACUCCUACGGGAGGCAGCAGUGGGGAAUAUUGGACAAUGGGCGAAAGCCUGAUCCAGCCAUACCGCGUGGGUGAAGAAGGCCUUCGGGUUGUAAAGCCCUUUUGUUGGGAAAGAAAAGCAGCAGGUUAAUACCCCGCUGUUCUGACGGUACCCAAAGAAUAAGCACCGGCUAACUUCGUG